AUGUCUCUCUGAAAAAGUAGUAUGGGGAGUCUGGCCUGCCCGGUGACAUAGUUAAACGGCUGCAGUAUCCUGACUGUGCAAAGGUAGCAUAAUAACCUGCCUUUUAAUUGGAGGAUAGAAUCAAUGGCUUGACGAGAGCAAAGCUGUCUUUUUUGUUUUUAUUAGAAUUUAUUUUUUAAGUUAAAAAGCUUAGAUAUAAUUAAAAGACGAUAAGACCCUAUUGAGCUUUAAAGAAAUAAAAUGAUUAUUAAUUAUUAAUAAGAUUGAUAAUAAUUUUAAAAAAUUUUGGUUGGGGCGACCGCGGAGUACAAAAAACCUCCGAACUAGAAAAUUAAUUUCUAUUUUUGAUCCAUGAUUUGUGAUGAGUGGAAUUAGUUACCAUAGGGAUAACAGCGCACUACUUUUAGGGAGAUCAUAUUUCUAAAAGAGAUCGCGACCUCGAUGUUGGAUUAAGGUAUACUAAAGGGCGCAGAAGCUUUUUAAGUUAGUCUGUUCGACUAUUAAAUCCUU
RNAcentral lists this ribosomal RNA (510 nucleotides) under Cyclophorus affinis. RNAcentral's name for it is "partial 16S ribosomal RNA". It matches the Rfam family "Bacterial large subunit ribosomal RNA", at positions 1815 to 2597 of the family's 2925-position model. Lineage: Eukaryota; Metazoa; Mollusca; Gastropoda; Architaenioglossa; Cyclophoridae. The record is from RNAcentral.